This 400-nucleotide ribosomal RNA is filed under the name Pinalitus oromii. RNAcentral's name for it is "partial 12S ribosomal RNA". Lineage: Eukaryota; Metazoa; Arthropoda; Insecta; Hemiptera; Miridae. The record is from RNAcentral.
CGCGGUUAUACAAUUUUAAAUAUUAAACUUUUUUGGUUAUGUAUUAAAUUAUAUUUAUUCAGUUAAUGGGAUUUUUAUUUGGUGAAAUAUUAAUUUUUUAGAUACUGGUAUAUAUUAUAAUAUAAGAAAGUUAUAUAUAGACUAGGAUUAGAUACCCUAUUAUUUUAACUGUAAAAUGUCAACCUAAUUAGUAUUAGAUACGAUCUUUAAAUUUAAAGAAUUUGGCGGUAAUUUAACUUUUCAGAGGAACCUGUCCUGUAAUUGAUAAUCCACAAUAAAUUUUACUUUUAUUAUGUUUAUAUAUCUCUAUCAUUGAAUGUCUUUUGAAGGAAAUUUUCUAAACGAUUUUUUAAUCAAAAUGUUAGGUCAAGGUUUAAUAAUAUAAAAGUAGAGAUGGGUU